AGUGAACGCUGGCGGUAGGCCUAACACAUGCAAGUCGAACGGCAGUACAGGAGAGCUUGCUCUCUGGGUGGCGAGUGGCGGACGGGUGAGGAAUACAUCGGAAUCUACCUUUUCGUGGGGGAUAACGUAGGGAAACUUACGCUAAUACCGCAUACGACCUACGGGUGAAAGUGGGGGACCGCAAGGCCUCACGCGAUUAGAUGAGCCGAUGUCCGAUUAGCUAGUUGGCGGGGUAAUGGCCCACCAAGGCGACGAUCGGUAGCUGGUCUGAGAGGAUGAUCAGCCACACUGGAACUGAGACACGGUCCAGACUCCUACGGGAGGCAGCAGUGGGGAAUAUUGGACAAAGGGCGCAAGCCUGAUCCAGCCAUACCGCGUGGGUGAAGAAGGCCUUCGGGUUGUAAAGCCCUUUUGUUGGGAAAGAAGUCCUGUCGAUUAAUACUCGGUGGGGAUGACGGUACCCAAAGAAUAAGCACCGGCUAACUUCGUG
RNAcentral lists this ribosomal RNA (490 nucleotides) under uncultured bacterium. RNAcentral describes it as "partial 16S ribosomal RNA". It matches the Rfam family "Bacterial small subunit ribosomal RNA", at positions 29 to 507 of the family's 1533-position model. The record is from RNAcentral.